CUCCCUCUCCGGUGAGUGAUCCCACAUCUCCUACCUCUGGCUUCAUCUCUUUCUCUUGUGCUGCUCUAGGUAGGUGGUACUAUAUGCUCUGUUUCAUGGCUAUGUGUGUAGUGCUUGAUGUGCUUCGAUUAUACUCUUGUAUCAUAUCAUGGGAAAGAUUAUGUUCCGUAUCUACUAUCACCUCCAGAUUACUUACUUGUUUGUUUGAUAUAUUCAGAGCUGCAGGCACCCUCCGUGGAUGAGGACGACAACCAAGGCAUCCAUGGUCGACAGCUCGAUGGCUCCUCGGGUAAGCAACACCCCCACAUGGUCGCUUCAGUUUUCAACGCCUUCUUUUCUGUUUGUGUGGGCUGAAAAUGUGUGAGCUUUAUAUGGCACAAGGGUGUGCAUUCACUGAUGAAUCAUUAUAUCUUUGAUAUUACGAAUGUUUGAAGUCUGAACCUCCUAUGUACGACGAUGUGUAUAUUCUGUAAAAUGUGUAUUUUCAUCAUUUGUCUGACAGUCUAAUACUGAGCUUAAACAUGUACUCUUGGAUGAUAUGCGUGAGUUGUGGACUUCCUGCCCUUUAUCACAAAUCUACAGUACAUGCUUCAGAAUUUAGUUGGCAUAAGAUUAAUUGUGUUUUUUAUUUUGAGGAGGAAAGAGUACCUUGUUGAACCAACUGUUUGGGACUAAUUUUAGGGAGAACCUACUCGGCGGUCCUGAUGUUGCACUCGGCAGCGGCGCCGGCGGUGGCAUCGUCUUGUUUCAGAUUUACUGAAUGUGAGUGUGCAUCAAGUUUCAGAUUUGUGCAAGAAUCAUCUUGUGUCUUUCGCGUUGUGUCUUUGUGUUGUUGAAUUCAGGUUCCUGUCUUUCUGUUCGUGGAAAAUCUUGUUCCUCCAAAUAUAUUAGAGAGAGAGAGAGGAUUGCGAUCUUGCUUGGGUCGUGUAAUCAGAUUUAAAGGACACUAUUUAUAGUAGAUAGGCAUAUGGUUCAUUGCUAGCUUGCUAGACCUGCGUGGCAAAUGCCAGUGUCUAUUUAUGCAAGGUAUAGCUUUCUGGAUAAGUAAUACCCCUUUAUCUGUACAUAUAGUGGCCAUGAAGGGUGGCUGAGCCAUCAGGAGCGGCAGCGGUGGCCUGCUGCGGACGCUGCUGCGGCUCCCUGUUCUUCAUCGCCUGCGUCUACCUGCUCCGUGCCGACCCCAUGUAUAUCCUCUCCUCCCCGUGCUUCUCUUGCCUGGGAGGCAACUCUUCAGUGUGCUUGACAUGGUCCAUCUUCUCCUCCCCAUUGCUCUCUCUAAUCCCCAAUGUUCACAUUUGGUCUGCUCUUGUCUUGUAGAUGUGCAGGAAGAAAAGGGCCAUAAGAUUGUACAGGCAGAACAUGAUGUUGUUCUGUUCAACCACAUUGCCCCUGGUAAACACGAUGUAGGCAGUGUGGCGUGGAUAGCCGAUGCUUUAAAAUAAUUGUAGCGUUGAUCCACUUUUCACAUACUGAAUCCUAACAACAGGGAAUAAGGGCUAGGAUCAAAUACAAUGAGUAAGUAGCAAAAUUAGAACGAUAAUUGUUUAUUAGAAGCAUUCAUCCGGAUGGAUUUGUGAGAUGCAUAUAUAAUGAUGGCUCCAGUUCAAGUGAUGACAUAGCAGUAGCUGAAAUAGAAAUUCAGUGAGCAUCUUCGUGUUAGAUUUCAUUUAGUUUCAAUUAGCAUUGGGCACUGGCUGGUUUCAAUCUUGCUACCAUCUAUUUGGGAGCCCCCUUCUAGAGGUUGGCACGGGUGAAGUGGCAGCCACUGAUUGCGUUGUAAACAACAUGAAUAGUGAGCCCGAUGAGCAGGCUAACGGUGCGGGCGAGAUCAGUUAGUACGACAGAUAGAAUGUUCAUGCAUAUUGAAAUGUGCCUUAUUGACUAAAUUUGAUAUUAACAUGUGUCGUUCACCUUACGCGCAGAUAUGGUUGCAAAGGUUGAAGAAGAGUAUGUCGAUCCGGAGCCUGAGCAAGCUAUAUUACCACCCCUAGCCAACAGUAAGUUCCUGCAAGACAAACACAACAACAUGUGUGUGGCAUAAGUAAAUAACUGAGUUAAUUUUGUUCCUAUGAUAUGACCUGAAACAUCUUCGCGUUAGAUUUCAUGUACUUACUAAUGCUUUGACCUGAAACUGGAACCACUGUAGCUGUUCUGCUGCCAAUAUAACUUCGUUUGCAUUUAGUUUGUCGUAAUAUUAAUUCAGGUUCUAUAGUCUGCUAGGUUAAGUUGUUUAUUUAGUUAAGUUCCCAUCUAAUUGCCUGAAUUAGUCAUGUAUGGAGAGCAGCUAAAAGUUAGAACAGGGUAUGCAACAAUAGUGUGAUUUAUGUUGCUGGAAGUACUGCCAAUGCUCUUGUCAUUUUUUAGCUUUGCUCUCGGUUUUGUUGGCAAGGGAUCUUUGGUCAUGAAUCCAUUGUAGAAUGGAAAUAGUUCAGCACCAAGGGAUAAUCGAAAUUACUAUCAUGAUAUUCUAGGUAGUAAUUACUCAAAAAUAUUUUUUUUGUUCUUCCAUUUUUCUCCUUUAGUUUGGUAUGAUGAUGAGUUGAUGCCCCGUCAUGUAAUUAUUCGAAGAUAGCCUGACUGUAAUAUAUCUGGGAGAAAUAUUACUACGAAUGGAGAAAGCUUUAUUUCAGGCAUCUCAAUUAUCGUCCUAAUAUUACAGUCAGACUAUCUUGAAUGAAAGACAUGGUUCGUGUGCAUCAUGACAUUCCCUGCAAUAUUUCUUUCUACGUAAUCAUUCAUGUGUGUAUAUGUGGGUAUGUUUGUUGGUAUCUACUCACUAUAUUAUAUAUUGUGUUAUUCAGAGAUCUCGGGCCCUGCUGGGAGAUCAAAGGCUGGAAGUGCAUGCAAGAGGGCAUGUUAAUCAGGCAGAUUAUCAUUCAAAGUCUGGAUCUACGAUGCUUGUGGCGCAGGUCCUGUUUCUCUCAUUCCUCCCUCCCAAUCCUCAAGUUUCUGGAUCAUGGACGUAAUCUGGGCACAGUCACAUCUUUUUUUGGUAAAUGCAUAUGAGCAACGAACUUGGGAGGAUUUUUAUUCUGUUGUUAGUUUGCUUCAUCUAAAUAUAUGAUGUAUUAAUUUGUACGCUGAUGAACAAUUUGGCUGAUACAUAUGGUUCCUUAGCUUAUAUUUCCGACCAUUACAAUUAGGUGUCUUGAUUGGCUUUGUGACUUGAUAACAUAUUGUGGUUCGACCAGAUUGGAUUGCGAGAUGCGACAUUAUGCAGGGGAGUCCUAUUUUUAUUUCAAAAGCUCGGUAUUUUUUUACAAUGGAUGGCACAACUUAGGCACGCUUCUCUUCUUUGCCCAACCUGUUCCCGGAAUGUUUAUUUUAGUUCCUUCCCGCAUCAGUUCUUUUUUAUCUUUAGGCUGAAUGAUAGAGUGGAGAUGUUAAACUCCUUCAUGAUUAGAACAUGGUGAUAAGGAGAACAUAUUUUUUGAGUUAUGAUUUAUUUGAGAUGUUUAGACAAUGAUUGCUACUUUCAAAUUGAUUUGAUAUGUUUCUCUGAAGUUUCAUUCAUUUCAUGUGUGUUCAUGUAUAUAUACUAGAAGUUGUUAUGGCUCACUUCCAUUUAUAUCAUGUUGACACGGCGAAUCAGCUGGUUAGAAUUCUGUAUAUUUUUCUUCACCUUGUGAGAGGCACAUCUUUCAACCAAGAAUGUCAUCAGUGACUAUCCAGAGGACAUGG
RNAcentral lists this long non-coding RNA (3681 nucleotides) under Triticum aestivum (bread wheat). RNAcentral's name for it is "long non-coding RNA (TAES_LNC004858)". The record is from RNAcentral. Lineage: Eukaryota; Viridiplantae; Streptophyta; Magnoliopsida; Poales; Poaceae.